RNAcentral lists this ribosomal RNA (560 nucleotides) under uncultured bacterium. Its description in RNAcentral is "bacterial SSU rRNA". It matches the Rfam family "Bacterial small subunit ribosomal RNA", at positions 363 to 914 of the family's 1533-position model. The record is from RNAcentral.
UUUGCGCAUGGGGGAAACCCUGACGCAGCACGCCGCGUGAGUGAUGAAGGCCUUCGGGUCGUAAAGCUCUGUCAAGUGGGAAGAACCUGCAUUGAGUUAACAGCUCAGUGCACUGACGGUACCACUGAAGGAAGCACCGGCUAACUCCGUGCCAGCAGCCGCGGUAAUACGGAGGGUGCGAGCGUUAUUCGGAAUUAUUGGGCGUAAAGGGCGCGUAGGCGGCCGUUUAAGUCAGGUGUGAAAGCCCGGGGCUUAACCCCGGAAGUGCAUUUGAUACUGAGCGGCUUGAGUAUGGGAGAGGGAAGUGGAAUUCCUGGUGUAGAGGUGAAAUUCGUAGAUAUCAGGAGGAACACCGGUGGCGAAGGCGACUUCCUGGACCAAUACUGACGCUGAGGCGCGAAGGCGUGGGGAUCAAACAGGAUUAGAUACCCUGGUAGUCCACGCAGUAAACGGUGAUCACUAGGUGUAGCGGGUAUUGACCCCUGCUGUGCCGCAGCUAACGCAUUAAGUGAUCCGCCUGGGGAGUACGAUCGCAAGGUUAAAACUCAAAUGGAAUUGAC